CCUACGGGAGGCUGCAGUGGGGGAUAUUGCACAAUGGGGGGAACCCUGAUGCAGCGACGCCGCGUGUGGGAAGACGGUCCUCUGGAUUGUAAACCACUGUCCCCAGGGACGAAAAUGACGGUACCGGGGGAGGAAGCUCCGGCUAACUACGUGCCAGCAGCCGCGGUAAUACGUAGGGAGCGAGCGUUGUCCGGAAUUACUGGGUGUAAAGGGAGCGUAGGGGGGGGGGCAAGUUGGGUGUCAAAACUACCGGCUCAACUGGUAGUCGCACUUAAAACUGCUGCUCUUGAGUGAAGUAGAGGCAGGCGGACUUCCUAGUGUAGCGGUGAAAUGCGUAGAUAUUAGGAGGAACACCAGUGGCGACGGCAGCCUGCUGGGCUUUUCCUGACGCUGAGGCUCGAAAGUGUGGGGAGCAAACAGGAUUAGAUACCCCUGUAGUC
This 440-nucleotide ribosomal RNA is filed under the name uncultured bacterium. RNAcentral describes it as "partial 16S ribosomal RNA". It matches the Rfam family "Bacterial small subunit ribosomal RNA", at positions 338 to 795 of the family's 1533-position model. The record is from RNAcentral.